Non-coding RNA from Mauremys mutica (yellowpond turtle), 387 nucleotides. Lineage: Eukaryota; Metazoa; Chordata; Testudines; Geoemydidae. The record is from the annotation of a RefSeq genome assembly.
AUGGGAUUUUUGCUCCUCCUAAUUUUCGCUGUAGCCGCUUUGGAAGGUGUCCGGUCCCAGGUGCAGCUGGUGGAGUCCGGAGGGGAUGUGAAAAAGCCCGGAGACUCUCUCCGCCUCUCCUGCAAAGCCUCUGGGUUCACCUUCAGCAGCUACUACAUGAGCUGGGUCCGACAGGCUCCCGGCAAGGGGCUAGAAUGGGUCGCUGCUAUAAGCGACGGUGGGGGUACAUACUACCUUGAUUCCGUCAAAGGCCGAUUCACCAUCUCCCGGGACAAUCCCAAGAGUGAGCUGUAUCUGCAAAUGACCGGCCUGAGGCCCGAGGACACCGCCCGCUAUUACUGUGCGAGAGACACAGUGAAACGAAACCGGUUUGUGACCAUACAAUAA